AUUGAACGCUGGCGGCAGGCCUAACACAUGCAAGUCGAACGGUAACAAGAAACAGCUUGCUGUUUCGCUGACGAGUGGCGGACGGGUGAGUAAUGUCUGGGAAACUGCCUGAUGGAGGGGGAUAACUACUGGAAACGGUAGCUAAUACCGCAUAACGUCGCAAGACCAAAGAGGGGGACCCUCGGGCCUCUUGCCAUCGGAUGUGCCCAGAUGGGAUUAGCUUGUUGGUGGGGUAACGGCUCACCAAGGCGACGAUCCCUAGCUGGUCUGAGAGGAUGACCAGCCACACUGGAGCGGAGACACGGUCCAGACUCCUACGGGAGGCAGCAGUGGGGAAUAUUGCACAAUGGGCGCAAGCCUGAUGCAGCCAUGCCGCGUGUAUGAAGAAGGCCUUCGGGUUGUAAAGUACUUUCAGCGGGGAGGAAGGGAGUAAAGUUAAUACCUUUGCUCAUUGACGUUACCCGCAGAAGAAGCACCGGCUAACUCCGUG
This 490-nucleotide ribosomal RNA is filed under the name uncultured bacterium. Its description in RNAcentral is "partial 16S ribosomal RNA". It matches the Rfam family "Bacterial small subunit ribosomal RNA", at positions 30 to 507 of the family's 1533-position model. The record is from RNAcentral.